This 491-nucleotide ribosomal RNA is filed under the name uncultured bacterium. RNAcentral describes it as "partial 16S ribosomal RNA". It matches the Rfam family "Bacterial small subunit ribosomal RNA", at positions 28 to 507 of the family's 1533-position model. The record is from RNAcentral.
GAUGAACGCUGGCUACAGGCUUAACACAUGCAAGUCGAGGGGAAACGACGGGGAAGCUUGCUUCCCCGGGCGUCGACCGGCGCACGGGUGAGUAACGCGUAUCCAACCUGCCUCUGACUGAGGGAUAACCCGUCGAAAGUCGGCCUAAUACCUCAUGGUAUCGUCUGCGGGCAUCCAACGACGAUUAAAGAUUUCAUCGGUCAGGGAUGGGGAUGCGUCUGAUUAGCUUGUUGGCGGGGUAACGGCCCACCAAGGCUACGAUCAGUAGGGGUUCUGAGAGGAAGGUCCCACACAUUGGAACUGAGACACGGUCCAAACUCCUACGGGAGGCAGCAGUGAGGAAUAUUGGUCAAUGGGCGAGAGCCUGAACCAGCCAAGUAGCGUGCAGGAAGACGGACCUAUGGGUUGUAAACUGCUUUUAUGCGGGGAUAAAGUGAGGGACGUGUCCCUCAUUGCAGGUACCGCAUGAAUAAGGACCGGCUAAUUCCGUG